Molecule: long non-coding RNA, 437 nt
Organism: Saccostrea cuccullata (small rock oyster)
Lineage: Eukaryota; Metazoa; Mollusca; Bivalvia; Ostreida; Ostreidae
Exons: 5
Source: RefSeq, a predicted model, not a curated record
GAUGUGUCACUGUACUAAGAACCGUAACUCUGUAUUGUUUUCAUGAAGAAACAAUUGUUUUGUUUUAUUAAAAUUUGUUUUUAAUUUUGACAGCUACCACAGAAUGCGAUGUCAACAUUAUAGAGAAUUAUGAAGAUAAUCACCAUCAUGUACAGAUUUACAUCAGAUUUCCCAGGAUGUGCUGUAUAACUGUCUAAAUGAUGAAGAAAAUGAAGAUUGAUUGAUAAUCUACAGGAUCCAGAUCCAGAUGAUGUAUUUUAAAGUGUAGCUUUGGAAAAGAAGAGCUCAUCCCCACUAUACAGAUUUUCAUAAGGUGAUAUGCAGUUGUUAAGAAGAAAGUGAAGAAAUCAACUUCUUACAGAUAUACUCCCUUUGAGAAUAAUUGGACCCUGCACUUCACAGAGACAAUGAAAGAAUUCAGAAGCCAGUGUUAAGGU